UACGGGGGGAGCAAGCGUUGUUCGGAUUUACUGGGCGUAAAGGGCGCGUAGGCGGCCAGCGCAAGUCAGUUGUGAAAUCUCCGAGCUUAACUCGGAAAGGUCAACUGAUACUGCGCGGCUAGAGUGCAGAAGGGGCAACUGGAAUUCUCGGUGUAGCGGUGAAAUGCGUAGAUAUCGAGAGGAACACCUGCGGCGAAGGCGGCCAGCUGGGCCGGUUCUGACGCUGAGGCGCGAAAGCGUGGGGAGCAAACAGG
RNAcentral lists this ribosomal RNA (254 nucleotides) under uncultured bacterium. RNAcentral's name for it is "partial 16S ribosomal RNA". It matches the Rfam family "Bacterial small subunit ribosomal RNA", at positions 524 to 776 of the family's 1533-position model. The record is from RNAcentral.